GAUGAACGCUGGCGGCGUGCCUAAUACAUGCAAGUCGAGCGAACAGACAAGGAGCUUGCUCCCUUGACGUUAGCGGCGGACGGGUGAGUAACACGUGGGUAACCUACCUAUAAGACUGGGAUAACUUCGGGAAACCGGAGCUAAUACCGGAUAAUAUUUCGAACCGCAUGGUUCGAUAGUGAAAGAUGGUUUUGCUAUCACUUAUAGAUGGACCCGCGCCGUAUUAGCUAGUUGGUAAGGUAACGGCUUACCAAGGCGACGAUACGUAGCCGACCUGAGAGGGUGAUCGGCCACACUGGAACUGAGACACGGUCCAGACUCCUACGGGAGGCAGCAGUAGGGAAUCUUCCGCAAUGGGCGAAAGCCUGACGGAGCAACGCCGCGUGAGUGAUGAAGGUCUUCGGAUCGUAAAACUCUGUUAUUAGGGAAGAACAUACGUGUAAGUAACUAUGCACGUCUUGACGGUACCUAAUCAGAAAGCCACGGCUAACUACGUGCCAGCAGCCGCGGUAAUACGUAGGUGGCAAGCGUUAUCCGGAAUUAUUGGGCGUAAAGCGCGCGUAGGCGGUUUUUUAAGUCUGAUGUGAAAGCCCACGGCUCGACCGUGGAGGGUCAUUGGAAACUGGAAAACUUGAGUGCAGAAGAGGAAAGUGGAAUUCCAUGUGUAGCGGUGAAAUGCGCAGAGAUAUGGAGGAACACCAGUGGCGAAGGCGACUUUCUGGUCUGUAACUGACGCUGACGUGCGAAAGCGUGGGGAUCAAACAGGAUUAGAUACCCUGGUAGUCCACGCCGUAAACGAUGAGUGCUAAGUGUUAGGGGGUUUCCGCCCCUUAGUGCUGCAGCUAACGCAUUAAGCACUCCGCCUGGGGAGUACGACCGCAAGGUUGAAACUCAAAGGAAUUGACGGGGACCCGCACAAGCGGUGGAGCAUGUGGUUUAAUUCGAAGCAACGCGAAGAACCUUACCAAAUCUUGACAUCCUUUGACAACUCUAGAGAUAGAGCCUUCCCCUUCGGGGGACAAAGUGACAGGUGGUGCAUGGUUGUCGUCAGCUCGUGUCGUGAGAUGUUGGGUUAAGUCCCGCAACGAGCGCAACCCUUAAGCUUAGUUGCCAUCAUUAAGUUGGGCACUCUAAGUUGACUGCCGGUGACAAACCGGAGGAAGGUGGGGAUGACGUCAAAUCAUCAUGCCCCUUAUGAUUUGGGCUACACACGUGCUACAAUGGACAAUACAAAGGGCAGCGAAACCGCGAGGUCAAGCAAAUCCCAUAAAGUUGUUCUCAGUUCGGAUUGUAGUCUGCAACUCGACUACAUGAAGCUGGAAUCGCUAGUAAUCGUAGAUCAGCAUGCUACGGUGAAUACGUUCCCGGGUCU
RNAcentral lists this ribosomal RNA (1372 nucleotides) under uncultured bacterium. RNAcentral's name for it is "bacterial SSU rRNA". It matches the Rfam family "Bacterial small subunit ribosomal RNA", at positions 28 to 1381 of the family's 1533-position model. The record is from RNAcentral.